Molecule: long non-coding RNA, 1982 nt
Filed under: Myripristis murdjan (pinecone soldierfish)
Lineage: Eukaryota; Metazoa; Chordata; Actinopteri; Holocentriformes; Holocentridae
Description: lncRNA (ENSMMDG00005020917.1)
Source: RNAcentral
AAAAAAUGUGCUGUCCUCUACCCAUGAAAGUGAUCAGCUAACAAAUUCUGGUAAGUGUUUUUAAUGUAGUUAAAUUCCAUUUAUUUUACUUAAAUUGAUUGUCUACUUCAGGAGUGUACAUUGCUUAAAUGUGUUCCUCUCCUUCCAUGUCACUUUUGAAGUGAAAUUAGGGGAUGAUAGAGCAAGACUUCAGCCAGAGGGAGGUGGCUCUUCAGCUCUAAAACGCAGGCAUGCAAGACCACUUGAGCUUGACAGUGAUGAUGAAGACGAAGAAGAGGACAAUAAAAGUAUUGAUACUGAAACUAUGUUAGACAAAGAGGAACCUGUGCUAGUUGAUGACGCUCCUAAAGUCCAGUGUAACAGAGGUGAGCUUGAUGAUGAGGAGGAAGAGGAGGCGGUGCAAAAGUACUCCAAGGGUAAAGACAUCAUCAUCUCCAAAGCUACUGAUGGAGUGCAACUCUCAGAUAGUGAGAUUCUUUCAGAGACGGGCUCCUCAGAGGAAAGUGAUUACUCAUCAGACUUUGAGUCCUCUGACUCUUACUCCACACAGAGCACUGGCAACUCAUCUUACUCUGACCUCAGCUCUGAGGAGGAUGAAGACAUGGAGGACAGCUGCAUAGAGAUACCACCAGAUGAGGAAUCAAUGGACUUAGAGCCCCCAGUCACCCCCUCAGCUCCUCUUACCCCCGGUGCUGAGCUGGAGCUGGGUCUGCAUGACUGGUCAGAGGGGCUUCAAAGGAGGGAACCACAAGAUGACCUGUACACAUGUAAACAUGACCCCAGUGAUCUGGAUGCUGUGAUGGACUUUGUAACCAGCGACCGCCAGGAUAGCCUCACGCCUCCAUCACCUAUAGGAAUUCCAGUGGUGGAGCCUAACUUUGAUGUGGAGGUAGAGAGCCCUGAAUGGAGGAUGGAGUCACUCGAUAACAUGGAAAGGCCCCUCACUCCUUCUGGCUACUUAAUAGACAGUGACCCUGAGCUGCCGAUAAGGCAUAAAACAACGCCCUCUGCUGUGGAGGUGGAGGAACGUCCACACACUCCAGGUCAGGGCAUAGUGGCUCAUGUUGAGACUGGGGACUGCAUGGAUGAACUCCUUUCUUUCUCUCCAGCAAGCAGUGAGGCUGCCCUGUCUCCCUCCGAGCUGCAGGUCUCCUACACAGUCAACGAGGACAUGCCCAAAACACCCGGUGCAGAGGAGAGAGGUAGAUGGACUCCAUACAGCUCUGGGAGAGCUCCAGCAACACCGGGCAGAGAGACAACUCUGUCAGAGGCAAGCACAGUGAGGAGUCCACCUCUCAGUAGCCCGCUCUCCUUUCAAUCCCUUCAAUCCAACAAUCUUUAUACUAGUACCCCACGAACUCCUGGAAGAACAACAGCCCACCAGAAGAGGGCACGAAUGAUGACCACCUCACAGGGAGGAAAUGUUUUCUUCCCUCUGCUGUGUGAUGAGUCUCUCACAGGCUCCCCCAUCGUAGUGUCCUCUCCCUGCAGACUCUCUGAGUCCUCAGCAGACACUCCUGAUGAGAAGGGUGUGUGGAUGAGUGCAGGUGUGAGGACCAAGCCAUUGCAGGGGUUGGAAAAUAUGCCGGGCCUCCUGCAUGAGGAGAGCAGGAGAGAGACAGAGAGGUUCUUACUUUUGAGAGAACAAAGGAGGUGGCAGAAGAUGAGGAGAAAGAGGAGGAAACUGCGACAACGGCAGCGACAGCGAUCACUAAAAAGAGUCACUGCUUCACUUUCUUCUCUCAAAGGUCCUUACAGGUGCCGUUCACUAUGUGAAGAGAUGAGAAUCCUCCACUCUGUUUGGAAGAAGGGCCUUGAUGAAGAAGAUGCAGGCCUGCUGCACAUUACAUAUGAGAGGCUGAAACAGCAAGAUAAUGCUUUUGGUUGGCUCAGUGACACCAUCUGGAUACAUCAUCCUUAUAUCCUUUUAAACAGACAGGGGGAGAAUUCAAAUGAAUUUGCUUAGUUUGCUAAGUCAGUAA